UGGGGAAUAUUGGACAAUGGGCGAAAGCCUGAUCCAGCCAUGCCGCGUGUGUGAAGAAGGUCUUCGGAUUGUAAAGCACUUUAAGUUGGGAGGAAGGGCAGUAAGCGAAUACCUUGCUGUUUUGACGUUACCAACAGAAUAAGCACCGGCUAACUCUGUG
This 160-nucleotide ribosomal RNA is filed under the name uncultured bacterium. Its description in RNAcentral is "partial 16S ribosomal RNA". It matches the Rfam family "Bacterial small subunit ribosomal RNA", at positions 355 to 507 of the family's 1533-position model. The record is from RNAcentral.